ACAAAGUACGUAGUUUUGCAUUUUUUGUGUUUAACGUUUUAUUUAAAAAUUUGAUAUGAUUGGUAUUUUUAUUAUUAUUAGAUGAUAAAACAUAAAUAGCACUUUAAACAUAACUAAUCUUUAUUAAGUUUUUUAUAAAAUUUUCAAAUAAAAUGAACGGUUAAACGUUGGAUAUGAAAACUCACGGUUGUAC
RNAcentral lists this microRNA precursor (193 nucleotides) under Oryza punctata. RNAcentral's name for it is "MIR812 microRNA precursor family". It matches the Rfam family "MIR812 microRNA precursor family". Lineage: Eukaryota; Viridiplantae; Streptophyta; Magnoliopsida; Poales; Poaceae. The record is from Rfam by way of RNAcentral.